UUACUUACCUAGACAGGGUUUAUGGGUGACCAAGAAGGCACAUUGCCUCGGUUGGUGACCUCCAUUGCACUUGGGAGGGGUGUCCACCAAACAUCUUCCCAAGUGGGAGAGUGUACAUCAUAGUUUGUGGCAGCGACUAUACACAUUCGUGCAGCCC
Molecule: small nuclear RNA, 157 nt
Organism: Macadamia integrifolia
Lineage: Eukaryota; Viridiplantae; Streptophyta; Magnoliopsida; Proteales; Proteaceae
Product: U1 spliceosomal RNA
Exons: 1
Source: RefSeq, a predicted model, not a curated record